RNAcentral lists this ribosomal RNA (253 nucleotides) under uncultured bacterium. RNAcentral's name for it is "partial 16S ribosomal RNA". It matches the Rfam family "Bacterial small subunit ribosomal RNA", at positions 524 to 776 of the family's 1533-position model. The record is from RNAcentral.
UACGCAGGGUGCGAGCGUUGUUCGGAAUCACUGGGCUUAAAGCGUGCGUAGGCGGCUUUGUAAGUCUGAUGUGAAAGCCCAGGGCUCAACCUUGGAAUUGCUUUUGAGACUGCAAGUCUAGAAUUCGGUAGAGGCUAGUGGAAUGUCCAGUGUAGAGGUGAAAUUCGCAGAUAUUGGACGGGACACCAGUGGCGAAGGCGACUAGCUGGGCCGAUAUUGACGCUGAGGCACGAAAGCGUGGGUAGCAAACAGG